This 468-nucleotide ribosomal RNA is filed under the name uncultured bacterium. RNAcentral describes it as "partial 16S ribosomal RNA". It matches the Rfam family "Bacterial small subunit ribosomal RNA", at positions 28 to 507 of the family's 1533-position model. The record is from RNAcentral.
GACGAACGCUGGCGGCGUGCUUAACACAUGCAAGUCGAACGGAAAGGCCCUGCUUUUGUGGGGUGCUCGCGUGGCGAACGGGUGAGUAACACGUGAGUAACCUGCCCUUGACUUUGUGAUAACUUCAGGAAACUGGGGCUAAUACCGGCUAGGAGCUCCUGCUGCAUGGUGGGGGUUGGAAAGUUUCGGCGGUUGGGGAUGGACUCGCGGCUUAUCAGCUUGUUGGUGGGGUAGUGGCUUACCAAGGCUUUGACGGGUAGCCGGCCUGAGAGGGUGAACGGCCACAUUGGGACUGCGAUACGGACCAGACUGCUACGGGAGGCAGCAGGGGGGAAUAUUGCACAAUGGGGGGAAGCCUGAUGCAGCAACGCCGCGUGCGGGAUGAUGGCCUUCGGGUGGUAAACCGCUUUCGCCUGUGACGAAGCGUGAGUGACGGUAAUGGGUAAAGAAGCACCGGCUAACUACGUG